AUUCUAAAGAACAAUUUUUUCUAGAAAAGUAGCAUAGGACAUUUACAGCUAAGCUGCCACAGUUCAAACCUGUAACGCAAUUUUUAAAAAGAAAGAAAGAAAAAAGGAUUUUGGUUCACAAAAACUAUCACUUUGUCGAAAGACAGCGCUUCAAGCCCCAGAGUAAGGAGCAUCUCCAAUUCUAACUAAGUUAUCCAGCAGUUAGCACAGCUGCAUCAGCAUCAUGGCUGACGCCAGCUAAUUACCAGGUGGACAUCUGAACGUGCUACGCAGAGGAACCAGAGCACGAGCUUCAUGGCGGGAGAACUUUCACCAUAUCCCAGAACCAAGACCGGAGCUGGCCCUCAGUAAGCCUAGGAACUCAAGAAUUGGACCAUCAGCUCUUAGACCGAGCCACGCGGGCUGUGAACUCACAAUCCGCUUACCUCACUAUAUUCCAAUCGUCAUAAAAAUUUAACCAGGCCUAAAUUAUAUCCCACAAUGCAGUGAGCCUUAACCAUAUCCUACAAUGCAACAACAAAUUAAACAUCUAGCAGAUCAGAAAUACUUAAGACCUCAGGCGGCCACCAGAAAUACUCAUCCACAAGAUUUUUUAAUUACAUGAAUUCCAA
Molecule: non-coding RNA, 611 nt
Organism: Rattus norvegicus (Norway rat)
Lineage: Eukaryota; Metazoa; Chordata; Mammalia; Rodentia; Muridae
Source: RefSeq, a predicted model, not a curated record